UUCUCCGUGGCGCAAUUGGCUAGCGCGUUCGACUGUUAUUCUAGCAAGAAGAGCAGAGCAUCGGGAGGUUGACAGUUCAAUCCUGUCCGGGGAAG
Molecule: transfer RNA, 95 nt
Organism: Pseudocercospora fijiensis CIRAD86
Lineage: Eukaryota; Fungi; Ascomycota; Dothideomycetes; Mycosphaerellales; Mycosphaerellaceae
Rfam family: tRNA
About the family: Transfer RNA (tRNA) molecules are approximately 80 nucleotides in length.
Source: Rfam